RNAcentral lists this transfer RNA (90 nucleotides) under Clostridiales bacterium. RNAcentral describes it as "tRNA-Ser". It matches the Rfam family "tRNA". Rfam says of the family: Transfer RNA (tRNA) molecules are approximately 80 nucleotides in length. Their secondary structure includes four short double-helical elements and three loops (D, anti-codon, and T loops). The record is from RNAcentral. Lineage: Bacteria; Bacillati; Bacillota; Clostridia; Eubacteriales.
GGAUAGAUGGUCGAGUGGUCUAAGGCACACGCUUGGAAAGCGUGCAGGGUAUAAAAGCCCUCGGAGGUUCAAAUCCUCUUCUAUCCGCCA